RNAcentral lists this ribosomal RNA (467 nucleotides) under uncultured bacterium. Its description in RNAcentral is "partial 16S ribosomal RNA". It matches the Rfam family "Bacterial small subunit ribosomal RNA", at positions 28 to 506 of the family's 1533-position model. The record is from RNAcentral.
GACGAACGCUGGCGGCGUGCUUAACACAUGCAAGUCGAACGGAAAGGCCCUGCUUUUGUGGGGUGCUCGAGUGGCGAACGGGUGAGUAACACGUGAGUAACCUGCCCUUGACUUUGGGAUAACUUCAGGAAACUGGGGCUAAUACCGGAUAGGAGCUCCUGCUGCAUGGUGGGGGUUGGAAAGUUUCGGCGGUUGGGGAUGGACUCGCGGCUUAUCAGCUUGUUGGUGGGGUAGUGGCUUACCAAGGCUUUGACGGGUAGCCGGCCUGAGAGGGUGACCGGCCACAUUGGGACUGAGAUACGGCCCAGACUCCUACGGGCGGCAGCGGUGGGGAAUAUUGCGCAAUGGGCGGAGGCCUGAUGCAGCAACGCCGCGUGCGGGAUGACGGCCUUCGGGUUGUAAACCGCUUUCGCCUGUGACGAAGCGUGAGUGACGGUAAUGGGUAAAGAAGCACCGGCUAACUACGU